Molecule: ribosomal RNA, 454 nt
Filed under: uncultured Gammaproteobacteria bacterium
Lineage: Bacteria; Pseudomonadati; Pseudomonadota; Gammaproteobacteria
Description: bacterial SSU rRNA
Rfam family: Bacterial small subunit ribosomal RNA
Source: RNAcentral
CGUACGGAUUCUGGGCGUAAGCGUGCGUAGGCGGUUCGUUAGUCAGAUGUGAAAGCCCCGGGCUCAACCUGGGAACGGCAUUUGAAACUGGCGGACUAGAGUUUAGUAGAGGGGAGUGGAAUUUCAGGUGUAGCGGUGAAAUGCGUAGAUAUCUGAAGGAACACCAGUGGCGAAGGCGACUCCCUGGACUAGAACUGACGCUGAGGUACGAAAGCGUGGGUAGCAAACAGGAUUAGAUACCCUGGUAGUCCACGCUGUAAACGAUGUCAACUAGCCGUUGGUCCUAUUUACAGGAUUAGUGGCGCAGCUAACGCAUUAAGUUGACCGCCUGGGGAGUACGGCCGCAAGGUUAAAACUCAAAUGAAUUGACGGGGGCCCGCACAAGCGGUGGAGCAUGUGGUUUAAUUCGAUGCAACGCGAAGAACCUUACCUACCCUUGACAUCCAUAGAAUCA